RNA transcript from Cervus elaphus (red deer), 774 nucleotides. It is a transcript of the gene named collagen alpha-1(III) chain-like, with no coding region annotated. Lineage: Eukaryota; Metazoa; Chordata; Mammalia; Artiodactyla; Cervidae. The record is from RefSeq and is a predicted model, not a curated record. The transcript is spliced from 3 exons.
UCCCGACACGGAGGGAGGGGGAGAGCGGUUUAAGAUGGAGUCCGAGGCACAAGAUGGAGGGGACAUGAGGGCAGCCGAUGAAGAUGCAGGUGCUGAGGCCUUUGCAGCGGGUACAGCACGUGGCAGCCAAGGUGUGCCUGGUGGUGCUAGUGGCCGCGAUGGCCCUCGCAACCCAGCUGGCCCUGGUGAUGCCAGCGACCUGGCUGAUCCCAGAGGCCCCAGCACUGGAGGAGAGUCAGGUGGCACAGCCAGUGCCAUUCCACAGAUCCCAGGGGCACCCCAAGCACCAGGGCCUGGUGGAGAUGCUGCACCUGGAGCCAGAGUUCUGAGUAACCGAGCCCUCCAGUUCAGCCUCACUGUGCCUUUCUCAUCGCAUGAGGAGGUGGACAACGCCGGUCACUUCUGGACUCCACGUACUCAACUGCAAGGGCCUGUUCGGAAAGAGCUCUAGGCUAACGGCUGCAUCCGAUUGACUGCUGAAGACCACGGCCUGAUCCCCACGUCCACUGCCUUCUUGUCUGGAGCAGCUUUCCUUGGUGAUGUGGACCUUGCAGCACUUUGUGCCCCCACUUUUUUUAAGUUUCAGCACAGAAGAGGGGCUUAAACCUAGCCUAUGUGCCCUAGCCUCAAGUGUCCUUCCCGAGGGCAUUGCUUUCUGCAGUAGUUUGAUCGCAGGCUUCGUCUUGUGCCUGUGCUGCUGCUUGGGGGCUCAGGGUCCACAUAGUUUGUUUGGUCAUUGUUAAAUGCGGAGAAUAAAACUGAGCUACUGUGCGG